This is a non-coding RNA of Rhodococcus pyridinivorans SB3094, 46 nucleotides long. The record is from Rfam. NCBI's taxonomy places the organism in Bacteria, Bacillati, Actinomycetota, Actinomycetes, Mycobacteriales, Nocardiaceae.
CCGGCUCCGGUUCACGUCUUCGACCCGCGAAGGCGACCCGGCGGCC